Molecule: transfer RNA, 86 nt
Filed under: Paenibacillus gansuensis
Lineage: Bacteria; Bacillati; Bacillota; Bacilli; Caryophanales; Paenibacillaceae
Also listed under: 1 other name
Description: tRNA-Tyr
Rfam family: tRNA
About the family: Transfer RNA (tRNA) molecules are approximately 80 nucleotides in length. Their secondary structure includes four short double-helical elements and three loops (D, anti-codon, and T loops).
Source: RNAcentral
GGAGGAUUAGUGAAGUGGCUAAACACGGCAGACUGUAAAUCUGCUCUCUGACGAGUUCGGUGGUUCGAAUCCAUCAUCCUCCACCA